CCUACGGGUGGCAGCAGUGAGGAAUAUUGGUCAAUGGGCGUAAGCCUGAACCAGCCAAGUCGCGUGAGGGAUGAAGGUUCUAUGGAUCGUAAACCUCUUUUAUAAGGGAAUAAAGUGCGGGACGUGUCCCGUUUUGUAUGUACCUUAUGAAUAAGCAUCGGCUAACUCCGUGCCAGCAGCCGCGGUAAUACGGAGGAUCCGGGCGUUAUCCGGAUUUAUUGGGUUUAAAGGGGGCGUAGGCGGCCUGUUAAGUCAGCGGUGCAAUUCUGUGGAUCAACCACAGAACUGCCGUUGAAACUGGGAGGUGUGAGUAUGUGUGAGGCAGGCGGAAUGCGUGGUGUAGCGGUGAAAUGCUUAGAUAUCACGCAGAACCCCGAUUGCGAAGGCAGCCUGCCAAGCCAUGACUGACGCUGAUGCACGAAAGCGUGGGGAUCAAACAGGAUUAGAUACCCUGGUAGUC
This 460-nucleotide ribosomal RNA is filed under the name uncultured bacterium. Its description in RNAcentral is "partial 16S ribosomal RNA". It matches the Rfam family "Bacterial small subunit ribosomal RNA", at positions 338 to 795 of the family's 1533-position model. The record is from RNAcentral.